GUGGAUUUGAGGGGUCUCACAUCGAUUGGAGAAGAGAAUGAGUGACAGCGAGAACGUUGACCCCAAAAGGGAGAUGAAUUGUGAGAUCCCACAU
Long non-coding RNA from Cucurbita maxima (winter squash), 94 nucleotides. RefSeq lists it as uncharacterized. The transcript is spliced from 3 exons. NCBI's taxonomy places the organism in Eukaryota, Viridiplantae, Streptophyta, Magnoliopsida, Cucurbitales, Cucurbitaceae. The record is from RefSeq and is a predicted model, not a curated record.